RNAcentral lists this ribosomal RNA (251 nucleotides) under uncultured bacterium. Its description in RNAcentral is "partial 16S ribosomal RNA". It matches the Rfam family "Bacterial small subunit ribosomal RNA", at positions 310 to 474 of the family's 1533-position model. The record is from RNAcentral.
UCACCCUCANCAANGUGNUCAGGUUGNNCCANUUCCAAUCUUCUCCANUCCGUAGGCCAUCCGAGAUACCGCCCCGCCUCCCGCGCGCGGCGGGCGGGGCGGGGGCACGGGGGGCCUACGGGAGGCAGCAGUGGGGAAUAUUGGACAAUGGGGGCAACCCUGAUCCAGCCAUGCCGCGUGUGUGAAGAAGGCUUUCGGGUUGUAAAGCACUUUCAGUGAGGAGGAAAACCUUNCGAUUAAUACUCGUGAGG